ACAGCUCACUGACGACUCAGGGCAGCUUCAGCUGUAAGCAGCCUGUGAUUUAUGGACACCGAGUGAACUCCUGCGGCAGAAACCAGCCUUGAGAUCAGAGCAGCAAUAGGGCUCUUUUUUGGCAGGAGACAGGGCCUGCAUUUUUCUCAUUCAUGCCAAACUGCUUUGCACGGCAAUUAGCUCUGUCCUCAUUUAGUCUCCAGUCCCAAAGGGUAAUGAAAGUCAUAUAUCAUCUUCAGGACUGCUAAUUAUUGAGCUCGCUUACAGUACUUUAAUCAGCAUUUAAUGACCCAGUCGAAAAUUCAUUGUUUGGACCCAAGCACUGGUGGGAAAGGCAGGAGGGGAGGCCUGCCUUCCUUCCUCCCUCCCGAGCCCUACAGCAGGCCAUGGAGUGGUGAGCGAGUUCGUACAGUGCCAACCACAUUCCCAGAAACUUCCAGCAGAGGUUAAUCCUGCUCCUCUCAGGAAAAAGUGAUUCAGCUCCGGUCCACCCUGGGUGCAGCGGUCCUUCUGCCAAGAUGCCUUCAUAUCAUACAGCUAUUAUUUUCGGGAGGAUUCCAAGUGAGGGCAGUCAGGGUGGGCUUGGCCCAUUCUCUAGACUUUGGAAGGUAAUGUUCUAUAGAGGCCUGUUCUGAAGCUUUACCAGGUCAAACCGGAGAAGAACCCAACAAGUAACUCAUCCCAGCCUAACUAUUCUUCAAGGGCAAUCAACCUACAGCAUCCAAGCACAGAGAAAUCAAAUCCAUGGAGAAUCUUCAAAUUAGGCUCAGAAUCCAUUUGGGUCAAUGAAUUUACUGUUAUUAAGAUCUUAGUUGUGUUCAACCAUGAUUUGACAUACCUUAGAGUGAGAAGAUAUUCUUCCUGGCCUCAGACUAGUUGAAGGUAGAGAGAGAGACAGGCCCUUGGGUGUGGGGAGACCUCUCCUGGGAUAAUACACACAAAAAACCAAGAGCUGCUCACUGUGGUGCAGGAGACAGCAGGGCCUGAAGCCAGAGGCUCUGUGUCCUUGAAUACAAUGUUUUACUCCUCUGACCCCUGUUACUGUGAUUUGGAGAGGCAGACAAUAUAGGAUGGGCUUUGCAGGCAGGGAGGUCCAGUUAUAAUCCCAGCUCUUACUAAGUUGGGUAAGACUCACUCUGAGACUUAGUUUCUUCUGUCAUCUCUCAAUAGAAUCAUAAAGGUACUUUCCUCUUAGUGUUGUUUUAAAAUUCAGUAAAAUAAUGCAGGCUUAGCACAGGGUCUGAUGUAAAUUUUCAAUGAAUUAUCGUUGUCAAUAUUGUUCUGGAAAACAAGAGGGCAUAUUAGAAGAUCAAAAGUACUGCCAAGCAUUGAAGUGCCAAUUCUAGAUCCAGUCUCAGCCCUCUGAGAAUGGAUAUCAUUGUUUUCAAGCCAUUCAGAAACCAAUGUGAAUUGAACACCUAGUAUGAGCUCUCUGAGGGAAGAGCCAAGUCAUGCAUUUUUUAUCUUAAGGGGUCUUCAAUACCUCUAGCCCAAAACAGUAUCUCCAUCAGGAUUCUUCUCUGAUAGUGUUCAUUUCUUUUUUCUCAAUGGAUGCCUUAAAAAAAAAAUCCUACAAGGAAACCUGUACUCCUCAAAUACACCACUCAGGUGACCAUUAAAUCAUUUACAUUGUUAAU
This is a long non-coding RNA of Homo sapiens (human), 1637 nucleotides long. Ensembl annotates it as ZNF503 antisense RNA 1. Its record names the gene ZNF503-AS1. The record is from Ensembl. Lineage: Eukaryota; Metazoa; Chordata; Mammalia; Primates; Hominidae.